GACGAACGCUGGCGGCGUGCUUAACACAUGCAAGUCGAACGGAAAGGCCCUGCUUUUGUGGGGUGCUCGAGUGGCGAACGGGUGAGUAACACGUGAGUAACCUGCCCUUGACUUUGGGAUAACUUCAGGCAACUGGGGCUAAUACCGGAUAGGAGCUCCUGCUGCAUGGUGGGGGUUGGAAAGUUUCGGCGGUUGGGGAUGGACGCGCGGCUUAUCAGCUUGUUGGUGGGGUAGUGGCUUACCAAGGCUUUGGCGGGUAGCCGGCCGGGGAGGGUGACCGGCCACAUUGGGACUGAGCUACGGCCCAGACUCCUACGGGAGGCAGCAGUGGGGAAUAUUGCACAAUGGGCGGAAGCCUGAUGCAGCAACGCCGCGUGCGGGAUGACGGCCUUCGGGUUGUAAACCGCUUUCGCCUGUGACGAAGCGUGAGUGACGGUAAUGGGUAAAGAAGCACCGGCUAACUACGUG
RNAcentral lists this ribosomal RNA (468 nucleotides) under uncultured bacterium. Its description in RNAcentral is "partial 16S ribosomal RNA". It matches the Rfam family "Bacterial small subunit ribosomal RNA", at positions 28 to 507 of the family's 1533-position model. The record is from RNAcentral.